CAGAUGUUCAUCCAGACGGCCACUCUGACCGUGUCCAUGUCCCUCAGUGCGUCCGUCUCCCUGGGGAUGCUCUACAUGCCCAAAGUCUACGUCAUCGUCUUCCAUCCGGAGCAGAACGUCCAGAAGAGGAAGAGAAGCUUCAAGGCUGCUGCCCAGGCUGUUUCUCAGAAGUCAGUCAGUGAGAAACAGAACGGAGCCAAGAUUGAACCAGACAGAUCUCAGUGAUGCAGCCGACUGCAGGUACCAGCUGCUCCACCAACCAUCACCACAGUAAAACCACCUGUCCACACUUUACCUGGCUCAGCGGC
Long non-coding RNA from Mugil cephalus (flathead mullet), 308 nucleotides. RefSeq lists it as uncharacterized. The transcript is spliced from 3 exons. Lineage: Eukaryota; Metazoa; Chordata; Actinopteri; Mugiliformes; Mugilidae. The record is from RefSeq and is a predicted model, not a curated record.